Meriones unguiculatus (Mongolian gerbil) is the source of this 360-nucleotide long non-coding RNA. RefSeq lists it as uncharacterized. The transcript has 3 exons. The record is from RefSeq and is a predicted model, not a curated record. NCBI's taxonomy places the organism in Eukaryota, Metazoa, Chordata, Mammalia, Rodentia, Muridae.
AUCCAGGAAGCAUCUUAAAGUCUUGGGGAGACAAUUGAAAGGUCUGAUACCCCUUCCUCUCCUCCACCCCUGGAGUGUGUCUAACUGUGACCUUCUCCUCACUUACCCCCGCACAGCGUUCUUCUCUCACAAGGUGGAACACAAGAGCAAGACCCACAACGGCAGGAGCUUCCAGAGGACAAGGACGCUGCCAAGUGUACCUGUGUACCAAGUGGAUGCGUGGUGCCUGAAGAGACCAGAAGAGGGAGCUGAAUCCCCUGGAACUGGAGUUACAGAUGGGUAUGCAGGAGGUUGUGUUUGGACGGCCAAUGAAGAAAAAAGAGCAGAGGAAACAGAGGAGGAUGGAGAUGAGCAGGAUGU